CCGUAGCCCAAGAGAUCGGGAUAACACCUGGAAACAGAUGCUAAUACCGGAUAACAACAGAUGAUGCCUAUCAACUGUUUAAAAGAUGGUUCUGCUAUCACUCUUGGAUGGACCUGCGGUGCAUUAGCUAGUUGGUAGGGUAACGGCCUGCCAAGGCGAUGAUGCAUAGCCGAGUUGAGAGACUGAUCGGCCACAUUGGGACUGAGACACGGCCCAAACUCCUACGGGAGGCAGCAGNG
This 239-nucleotide ribosomal RNA is filed under the name uncultured Lactobacillus sp. RNAcentral's name for it is "partial 16S ribosomal RNA". It matches the Rfam family "Bacterial small subunit ribosomal RNA", at positions 125 to 356 of the family's 1533-position model. The record is from RNAcentral. Lineage: Bacteria; Bacillati; Bacillota; Bacilli; Lactobacillales; Lactobacillaceae.